UCCUCUGUGGCGCAAUUGGCUAGCGCGUCUGACUGUUACACCAGUGGCUAUCAGGAGGUUGGAAGUUCGAGCCUUCCCGGAGGAG
Molecule: transfer RNA, 85 nt
Organism: Alternaria alternata
Lineage: Eukaryota; Fungi; Ascomycota; Dothideomycetes; Pleosporales; Pleosporaceae
Rfam family: tRNA
About the family: Transfer RNA (tRNA) molecules are approximately 80 nucleotides in length. Their secondary structure includes four short double-helical elements and three loops (D, anti-codon, and T loops).
Source: Rfam